This 234-nucleotide ribosomal RNA is filed under the name uncultured bacterium. Its description in RNAcentral is "partial 16S ribosomal RNA". It matches the Rfam family "Bacterial small subunit ribosomal RNA", at positions 99 to 334 of the family's 1533-position model. The record is from RNAcentral.
CGGACGGGUGAGUAACGCGUAGGUAUCUAUCCUUGGGUGGGGGACAACCGUGGGAAACUACGGCUAAUACCGCAUGAUAACUGAGGUUCAAAGGCGUUUGGGGUGACCUGGACGGUGCCUGGGGAGGAGCCUGCGUACGAUUAGCUAGUUGGUGGGGUAAAGGCCUACCAAGGCUGCGAUCGUUAGCUGGUCUGAGAGGAUGAUCAGCCACAUUGGGACUGAGACACGGCCCAA